This 141-nucleotide microRNA precursor is filed under the name Gossypium hirsutum (cotton). RNAcentral describes it as "MIR7502 microRNA precursor family". It matches the Rfam family "MIR7502 microRNA precursor family". The record is from Rfam by way of RNAcentral. Lineage: Eukaryota; Viridiplantae; Streptophyta; Magnoliopsida; Malvales; Malvaceae.
UUAAAAAAAUUUCAUGCAUUUGUAUUGUUAAAAGCUGACUUGACUGAUAGAAUAAUUAGACAAUACGCAUCAUGUGUCACAUGUACCACAUGUUUAUGUACAAAGAGUAAUUUUUAACAAUAGAAAUGUAUACAAUUUUUA